UCUAUACCUACUUAGGACUCUUUUUCUACCCAAAUCUAUCACAAAAUCCAAAUUCCACUACAUUCUUACUACCUCCCUUUUCUCUUCAAGAAAGACUGCUACUUUCAUCAAACCUGUGUUCUCAAACAAAAAUUGAAGUUAGAAAGAAAUAAGAAUAAAAAAGAAAAUAUACCGAUAAAUAGUACCUCAUGUUCCAAGAGAAGUAAAAACUUCUAAAUUUAGCAAGCUUGCUAAGAAUUAAUACAACCUGCAAAAUAUUAUAAAAAUUUUGUUCAAACUUAUAGCGCAUUAGUACAAUAUCAAUCAAACAACAUUUUCUAAUUUAAAUAAUACCUUUACUACUGAAAUUUCUUCAUGCUUGUAAAUAUCAAUAUUGAUCCAAUUUCAAGAAGCUGAAUCUCCCAUCUUUUAUCCUCGUCCAGCUUAAAUGGCUUGUGAGUUGUACAUUACAAAAAUUCACUCAACCUUUCCAAACCAAACCAAACUCUAUGCCUUACAUUUAUAGUAAGUUCUACAUUACAAAAUUUUCACUUGGCACAACCCAUAUAGAGACACAUACAAAGACAUAUCUAUACAUAUUCAAAAGGGUGCUCCAAGUGUAAAAUUAUCUCUCAACAAAAGUACAAAAUAAACUAGAAUAUUAAAUACAAAAUAUAACAAAUACACUAAAUAGAUACACGAAAAAACUCAUUCAAAAUGCAUAUCACAAUAAGUAGGACAUCAACCACCAACGAAACAUAAUAAUAAAAACAUCCAAACAUAUAUAACAAAAGAAAAAAACAACACAAAAAAAUUACAAUGACAUUCAACGAAACAUCACAUUCACAAACAAAAUCAACAUUCAUCAAAAAAAUUAUAAUAGUCCAACAAAACAUUACAUUCGAAACAAAUAUUACAAUAUUCCGACAAAACAUCACACAAUAACAAAAAAAUAACACAUAUAUAACACAUUCAUCAAGCAAGACCAAUAGAAAAAAUUACAAUAUUCCAAUUAAAGUUUAAUAACUAUCGGUGAACAUAUAUAACACAUUUUAUAUAAUAUAUAUAUAAUAUAAUGUGUAUCUAUACAUACAUAUGUAUAUUACGUAUAUAAUAUAAUAUAUAUUAUAAUACUUAUUAUACAGAUAUACAUGUGUAUAAUACACAUGUAUAUUAUGUAUAUUACAUAAUAAUAUAAUAUAAUUAUAUCACUUUCCUAAAUAUUUAGAACCUAUAAAACGAGCCAUCUUCUACGCAUAUACCUACUUACGGCUCUUUUUCUACCCAAAUCUAUCACAAAAUCCAAAUCUCACUACAUUCUUACUACCUCCAUUUUCUCUUCAAGAAAGACUGCUACUUUCGUCAAACAUUUGUUCUCAAACAAAAUUUGAAGUUAGAAAGAAAUAAGAAUAAAAAAGAAAAUAUACCGAUAAAUAGUACCUCAUGUUCUAAGAGAAGUAAAAACUUCUAAAUUUAGCAAGCUUGCUAAAAAUCAAUACAACCUGCAAAAAAUUAUAAAAAAUUUUGUCCAAACUUAUAGCGUAUUAGUACAAUAUCAUUCAAAUAACAUUUUCUAAUUUAAAUAAUACAUUUGCUACUAAAAUUUCUUCAUGCUUGUAAAUAUUGAUCCAAUUUCAAGAAGCUGAAUCUCCCAUCUUUUAUCCUCGUCUUUAGCUUACAUGGCUUGUGAGUUGUACAUUACAAAAAUUCACUCAACCUUUCCAAACCACACUUUAUGCCUUACAUUUAUAGUAAGUUAUACAUUACAAAAUUUUCACUUAGCACAACCCAUAUAGAGACACAUACAAAGAAAUAUCUAUACAUAUUCAAAAG
This 1812-nucleotide long non-coding RNA is filed under the name Panax ginseng (ginseng). RNAcentral's name for it is "long non-coding RNA (PGIN_LNC016699)". Lineage: Eukaryota; Viridiplantae; Streptophyta; Magnoliopsida; Apiales; Araliaceae. The record is from RNAcentral.